This 1661-nucleotide ribosomal RNA is filed under the name Salmonella enterica. Its description in RNAcentral is "partial 23S ribosomal RNA". It matches the Rfam family "Bacterial large subunit ribosomal RNA", at positions 1 to 1693 of the family's 2925-position model. The record is from RNAcentral. Lineage: Bacteria; Pseudomonadati; Pseudomonadota; Gammaproteobacteria; Enterobacterales; Enterobacteriaceae.
GGGUUGUGAGGUUAAGCGACUAAGCGUACACGGUGGAUGCCCUGGCAGUCAGAGGCGAUGAAGGGCGUGCUAAUCUGCGAUAAGCGCCGGUAAGGUGAUAUGAACCGUUAUAACCGGCGAUACCCGAAUGGGGAAACCCAGUGUGAUUCGUCACACUAUCAUUAACUGAAUCCAUAGGUUAAUGAGGCGAACCGGGGGAACUGAAACAUCUAAGUACCCCGAGGAAAAGAAAUCAACCGAGAUUCCCCCAGUAGCGGCGAGCGAACGGGGAGGAGCCCAGAGCCUGAAUCAGCAUGUGUGUUAGUGGAAGCGUCUGGAAAGGCGCGCGAUACAGGGUGACAGCCCCGUACACAAAAGCGUAUGUGCUGUGAGCUCGAUGAGUAGGGCGGGACACGUGGUAUCCUGUCUGAAUAUGGGGGGACCAUCCUCCAAGGCUAAAUACUCCUGACUGACCGAUAGUGAACCAGUACCGUGAGGGAAAGGCGAAAAGAACCCCGGCGAGGGGAGUGAAAAAGAACCUGAAACCGUGUACGUACAAGCAGUGGGAGCACCCUUUGGGGUGUGACUGCGUACCUUUUGUAUAAUGGGUCAGCGACUUAUAUUCUGUAGCAAGGUUAACCGAAUAGGGGAGCCGGAGGGAAACCGAGUCUUAAUUGGGCGUUAAGUUGCAGGGUAUAGACCCGAAACCCGGUGAUCUAGCCAUGGGCAGGUUGAAGGUUGGGUAACACUAACUGGAGGACCGAACCGACUAAUGUUGAAAAAUUAGCGGAUGACCUGUGGCUGGGGGUGAAAGGCCAAUCAAACCGGGAGAUAGCUGGUUCUCCCCGAAAGCUAUUUAGGUAGCGCCUCGUGAAUUCAUCUCCGGGGGUAGAGCACUGUUUCGGCUAGGGGGUCAUCCCGGCUUACCAACCCGAUGCAAACUGCGAAUACCGGAGAAUGUUAUCACGGGAGACACACGGCGGGUGCUAACGUCCGUCGUGAAGAGGGAAACAACCCAGACCGCCAGCUAAGGUCCCAAAGUCAUGGUUAAGUGGGAAACGAUGUGGGAAGGCCCAGACAGCCAGGAUGUUGGCUUAGAAGCAGCCAUCAUUUAAAGAAAGCGUAAUAGCUCACUGGUCGAGUCGGCCUGCGCGGAAGAUGUAACGGGGCUAAACCAUGCACCGAAGCUGCGGCAGCGACGCUGAUGCGUUGUUGGGUAGGGGAGCGUUCUGUAAGCCUGUGAAGGUGGCCUGUGAGGGUUGCUGGAGGUAUCAGAAGUGCGAAUGCUGACAUAAGUAACGAUAAAGCGGGUGAAAAGCCCGCUCGCCGGAAGACCAAGGGUUCCUGUCCAACGUUAAUCGGGGCAGGGUGAGUCGACCCCUAAGGCGAGGCCGAAAGGCGUAGUCGAUGGGAAACGGGUUAAUAUUCCCGUACUUGGUGUUACUGCGAAGGGGGGACGGAGAAGGCUAUGUUGGCCGGGCGACGGUUGUCCCGGUUUAAGCGUGUAGGUGUGUGUUCCAGGUAAAUCCGGUUCACUUUAACACUGAGGCGUGACGACGAGGCACUACGGUGCUGAAGCAACAAAUGCCCUGCUUCCAGGAAAAGCCUCUAAGCAUCAGGUAACAUCAAAUCGUACCCCAAACCGACACAGGUGGUCAGGUAGAGAAUACCAAGGCGCUUGA